AACUCAAAGGAAUUGACGGGGCCCGCACAAGCGGUGGAGCAUGUGGUUUAAUUCGAUGAUACGCGAGGAACCUUACCUGGGCUCAAAUGUAUGUUGACGUAUUCUGAAAGGGAUACUUCUUCGGACAAUAUACAAGGUGCUGCAUGGUUGUCGUCAGCUCGUGCCGUGAGGUGUCGGGUUAAGUCCCAUAACGAGCGCAACCCCUAUCAUUAGUUGCCAUCAGGUAAUGCUGGGACUCUAAGGAUACUGCCCGGUUAACGGGGAGGAAGGUGGGGAUGACGUCAAGUCAGUAUGUCCCUUACGUCCAGGGCUACACACGUGUUACAAUGGCCGGUACAAUGAGUUGCGACCCUGCAAAGGUAAGCCAAUCUCAAAAAACCGGUCUCAGUUCGGAUUGCAGUCUGCAACUCGACUGCAUGAAGUUGGAAUCGCUAGUAAUCGUAGAUCAGCACGCUACGGUGAAUACGUUCCCGGGCCUU
Molecule: ribosomal RNA, 479 nt
Filed under: uncultured bacterium
Lineage: Bacteria
Description: bacterial SSU rRNA
Rfam family: Bacterial small subunit ribosomal RNA
Source: RNAcentral